This 492-nucleotide ribosomal RNA is filed under the name uncultured bacterium. RNAcentral's name for it is "partial 16S ribosomal RNA". It matches the Rfam family "Bacterial small subunit ribosomal RNA", at positions 29 to 507 of the family's 1533-position model. The record is from RNAcentral.
AGUGAACGCUGGCGGUAGGCCUAACACAUGCAAGUCGAACGGCAGCACAGUAAGAGCUUGCUCUUACGGGUGGCGAGUGGCGGACGGGUGAGGAAUACAUCGGAAUCUACUUUUACGUGGGGGAUAACGUAGGGAAACUUACGCUAAUACCGCAUACGACCUACGGGUGAAAGCAGGGGAUCUUCGGACCUUGCGCGAUUGAAUGAGCCGAUGUCGGAUUGGCUAGUUGGCGGGGUAAAGGCCCACCAAGGCGACGAUCCGUAGCUGGUCUGAGAGGAUGAUCAGCCACACUGGAACUGAGACACGGUCCAGACUCCUACGGGAGGCAGCAGUGGGGAAUAUUGGACAAUGGGCGCAAGCCUGAUCCAGCCAUACCGCGUGGGUGAAGAAGGCCUUCGGGUUGUAAAGCCCUUUUGUUGGGAAAGAAAAGCAGCAGGUUAAUACCCCGCUGUUCUGACGGUACCCAAAGAAUAAGCACCGGCUAACUUCGUG